GCAGUGGCAACACUGCGGAAGGCCUAGUGGCGAACGGGUGAGUAACACCUGAGGAACUUGCCCCGGAGACCGGGAUAACUCUCCGAAAGGAGAGCUAAUACCGGAUGUCCUCACCGAAUCGCAUGGUUUGGUGAGGAAAUGGAUUCCGCUCCGGGAGAGCCUCGCGGCCUAUCAGCUAGUUGGUGGGGUAACGGCCCACCAAGGCAUCGACGGGUAGCUGGUCUGAGAGGACGAUCAGCCACACUGGGACUGAGACACGGCCCAGACUCCUACGGGAGGCAGCAGUGGGGAAUCUUGCGCAAUGGGCGAAAGCCUGACGCAGCAACGCCGCGUGCGGGAUGACGGCCUUCGGGUUGUAAACCGCUUUCAGUGGGGACGAACCAAGACGGUACCCACAGAAGAAGCCCCGGCCAACUACGUGCCAGCAGCCGCGGUAACACGUAGGGGGCAAGCGUUGUCCGGAUUUAUUGGGCGUAAAGAGCUCGUAGGUGGUUCGAUAAGUCGGGUGUGAAACCUCCAGGCUCAACCUGGAGACGCCACCCGAUACUGUCGUGACUAGAGUCCAGUAGGGGAGCAUGGAAUUCCUGGUGUAGCGGUGAAAUGCGCAGAUAUCAGGAGGACACCAGUGGCGAAGGCGGUGCUCUGGGCUGGAACUGACACU
RNAcentral lists this ribosomal RNA (661 nucleotides) under uncultured Actinomycetes bacterium. RNAcentral describes it as "bacterial SSU rRNA". It matches the Rfam family "Bacterial small subunit ribosomal RNA", at positions 73 to 747 of the family's 1533-position model. The record is from RNAcentral. Lineage: Bacteria; Bacillati; Actinomycetota; Actinomycetes.